Molecule: long non-coding RNA, 202 nt
Filed under: Gossypium raimondii (Peruvian cotton)
Lineage: Eukaryota; Viridiplantae; Streptophyta; Magnoliopsida; Malvales; Malvaceae
Description: long non-coding RNA (GRAI_LNC002245)
Source: RNAcentral
CUCACUCCCCCUUUUUUCUCCUGUUUUUCUAUCAUCUCCUACCACUCUUCCUUUCAAAAGUUUUUAAUAAUAUUAUUCUUAAUCCCCAAUCCUUUUUUUUUCUCCCACUUCCUUUAUAAGGAACUCUCGAAAUUAACCAUGCCCCCUCUCUUCUAUUCCUUAUUUCUACUCUUUUUUUUUUCCAACUACACCUCUAUUCUUC